CCUACGGGCGGCAGCAGUGGGGAAUAUUGCGCAAUGGGCGAAAGCCUGACGCAGCGACGCCGCGUGAGGGAUGAAGGUCUUCGGAUCGUAAACCUCUGUCAGCAGGGAAGAACGGUCACUGUGCUAAUCAGCAUUGAAUUGACGGUACCUGCAAAGGAAGCACCGGCUAACUCCGUGCCAGCAGCCGCGGUAAUACGGAGGGUGCGAGCGUUAAUCGGAAGUACUGGGCGUAAAGCGUUCGUAGGCGGUAUGUCAAGUCAAGGGUGAAAUCCCCGCGCUCAACGUGGGAACUGCCUUUGAAACUGGCAGACUUGAGUGUGUGAGAGGAUAGUGGAAUGCCAGGUGUAGGAGUGAAAUCCGUAGAUAUCUGGAGGAACAUCAGUGGCGAAGGCGACUAUCUGGCACAUAACUGACGCUGAGGAGCGAAAGCGUGGGUAGCAAACAGGAUUAGAUACCCUUGUAGUC
This 465-nucleotide ribosomal RNA is filed under the name uncultured bacterium. Its description in RNAcentral is "partial 16S ribosomal RNA". It matches the Rfam family "Bacterial small subunit ribosomal RNA", at positions 338 to 795 of the family's 1533-position model. The record is from RNAcentral.